RNAcentral lists this ribosomal RNA (253 nucleotides) under uncultured bacterium. Its description in RNAcentral is "partial 16S ribosomal RNA". It matches the Rfam family "Bacterial small subunit ribosomal RNA", at positions 524 to 776 of the family's 1533-position model. The record is from RNAcentral.
UACAGAGGUCUCAAGCGUUGUUCGGAUUCAUUGGGCGUAAAGGGUGCGUAGGUGGCGGGGUAAGUCAGGUGUGAAAUUUCGGAGCUUAACUCCGAAACUGCAUUUGAUACUGCCUUGCUUGAGGACUGGAGAGGAGACUAGAAUUCACGGUGUAGCAGUGAAAUGCGUAGAGAUCGUGAGGAAGACCAGUGGCGAAGGCGGGUCUCUGGACAGUUCCUGACACUGAGGCACGAAGGCCAGGGGAGCAAACGGG